RNAcentral lists this long non-coding RNA (341 nucleotides) under Mytilus galloprovincialis (Mediterranean mussel). Lineage: Eukaryota; Metazoa; Mollusca; Bivalvia; Mytilida; Mytilidae. The record is from RNAcentral.
GGCGUAUUGUUAUGCGUUUACUUUUCUACAUUGGCUAGAGGUAUAGGGGGAGGGUUGAGAUCUCACAAACAUGUUUAACCCCGCCGCAUUUUUGCGCCUGUCCCAUAGUCAGGAGCCUCUGGCCUUUGUUAGUCUUGUAUUAUUUUAAUUUUAGUUUCUUGUGUACAAUUUGGAAAUUAGUAUGGCGUUCAUUAUCACUGAACUAGUAUAUAUUUGUUUAGGGGCCAGCUGAAGGAACCCUCCGGGUGCGGGAAUUUCUCGCUACAUUGAGGACCUGUUGGUGACCUUCUGCUGUUGUUUUUUUCUAUGGUCGGGUUGUUGUCUCUUUGGCACAUUCCCCA